AGAGAAAGAGGAGAUGGCGGCGUCGGCGGAGGGAGAGGGUGCGAAGGCGAAGGCGAAGAGGUCGAUGGUGGCGAUCGACGAGAGUGAGUGCAGCAAUUACGCCCUCAGGUGGGCUCUCAGCAACCUCCGCGAAGCCGUCUCCUCUUCCCCUCUCGUCAUCUUCAACGCCCAGCCCUUCGCCACUGCCGGCUACAUGACCGCCGCAGCCUACGGCGCACCUCGUAAGCACGCAAUACAUAAACCGACUACUGUUACUCUUCUCUUCUUCAAAUUAAACUAACAUCCGUCUAAUUAAUAAUCUAUUCUAAUUUUAUACGAUGCAUGAACCCUGAUUUCUUUUCUUUUUUCUUUUUUUCCUUCCAUUUUUCUUUCUUUCUUUUUUCAUUUUUCUUUUACAUUUUAUUUUAUUUUUUAAUAUUAUAUAUUUUAGCCCAUUAAAUCUAAUAAUAAUAUUUUAUUUUAGUCAAUUAUAUUUAGUAAUAAUUUUUUUAAUUAAUAGGAUAUUGUGUGUGUGUGUGUGUCUAUAUAUAUAUAUAUAUAUAUAAUUUGUGAGCGAAGGAGCGAGCGCUCGGGAGAGGAGAGGAGAGGAGAGGAAGGGGUUGNUUUUUUUUUUUUUUUAUUGAUACAAAAUUAAUUUUUUCUGUCUCCCACGGAUAAUUUCGUCAACAUAGAUGAGAUACCCACGGAUAGAAUUAGAAUCUUAGAUGCCUCUAUGAAGAUUCCGAGACAGGAACCAAUGUUUAUAUUGAUGCAAGAUAAUAAGAUAUAAAGAGUAUUAGUAAGAGAUAUAAAGGAUUCCAAUGAAGUAAAAGAAGUAAUUAUUGAUAUGGAAACGGAAAUAGAUUCCUUUAUACAAAAGUAAAAAGAUUUUUACAUUGAGAACGAAGAUUUGGGUAAUGAGAAAAAAGAUUUCAUUUAUAAACCAGUAUACUCUUUAAACAGUACCGAUGUCUAAAUGAUUUCCAAUAAAAUUUGAACCGAAGAUGUGUGUAAUAUGUACGAAGAUAUAUUGUUACAAAUGUAAAUGUAGAUUGUAAAAAUAGACCUAUAGGAAAUGUAAUAUAUGUACCGUCUCAUAGUUUAAGUGUAAGGAUGAAGGGUUAAUACUAAUGUUAGACAUAAGUAAUUUCAUUUUAAUUGUUUCAAAUUUACUAAAUUACUUAGUUUGGAUUGAUUUAAUACGAGUAAACUAUAAAGGCAAUAUUCUAGUGAAAGAAGUAGACUACUUCUUAGAAGAAAUAGUAUUCAAAGAUAUUAUCUUAUAUAACUAAGACACAGCCUAUAUAUAAAUAGAUGUCGAUUAUUCACAAAAACUCAAAGAAGGUGAUGAUUCCGUAAAGAUAAAGAAGAUAAAACAGAAAAUCUUGUACACAAAACGUUUUACAAGACACGACGGUGUUCAUUUCGUCACAUUAAAUAAAAAUAUAUAGGAUAGGGGGAUUUAAUUUAACUUAUUAAUAUAAAAGAUAAAAUGAGUUAAAUUAAGUUAAUGACUUAAGUUAAUGACUUAAGUUAAUAACUUAAGUUAAUGAGUUAAAUUAACUCAUUUUAUGUUACAUUUUUUUCUUUUUUUCUUUUUCAAACCUCGCUUGGCCAGGCCCCGAAAGUAUACUCCAUAAUUAUAAUAAUAAAAUAAAAUAUAUAUAUAUAUAUAUUUUAAAAUUAAACUUUUUUUUCUUUAUAAAUUAAACUUUUUAAUUUUUUAGUUACCCUCUGUCUUUUCCCUUUUAAAAAAAAUAAACUUUUUAAUUUACUAUUUCUUUACAAAUAUUUUCUCCUCUUUCUUGUAAAAAUACAUAUUAGGUUAGUAAUAAAAGUUUACCCUUUUAAUUUUACCUUGUAAAUUUAGCUCCUUCCAUAUCCUCUUUCCUCUAUAUUUCAAUUUUAACCAUAGAUCUUUCUGUCUUUAUUUUUCUUUAAAUAUCCAAGUUUAAAAAAAAAAAUUUAUAAGCCGCUGUAAGGACUGAGAUUUUGCAGUGUAGCUAAACUCUGUUGACGAUGUUUUUGUGUGUAAUUUAAUUACAAAAGCACUCGUCAAGUUUUGGGAGAAAUCGAGUUAAAACGGAGAUUCUACGCGAUUUCCAAGUUCUACUUAAAGUGAAUAGUAACUUGGUUUUCCGGAGAGCUCAAUGCGUAAAGCUGGCUUCUGGCUCGUAUCGGACUCCGUUCAUAGCGGUCCAAUAGCUCGUUUCGACCGGUUCAGCUGUUCUGGAACUAGUGGCGCUGACGGAUUUUGAGUUUGAUGCACGGAUUUCGAGAAAAUCCAAAAAUACAUGUUUUAUAUGUAAUUGUGCGUAGUUCUUCUAUUGGAGAGUUGGAACGGUUCUUGUCGCGAAUCCGCGACCGAUCGAGAUGAACCAAAAUGGUAGCUUUGUUGUCUCCAUGGUGCUGAUCGCACUGGUGUAAUCCGUUCGCAAAUCUGACGGACGGAUCUGCGGAGAUCGCACGUUGAUCGAGAAGAGGUCGGUGUAGGAAAAACGGUAAUUUCGCAAAAGUCGCGACAUUUUAUGUACCGUUUUGCGUGAGAUCGCACGUGGAAGGGUGUUCUCGCGUUUCACACGCGCUGUGAGGGACUCAGUAUCAAAUACUGAAGUUUGAGAGGCUUUUCCGCAAUUUGCACCUUAUAUAUAUAUUAUAUCUAGGGUUUUGCAAUGGAAACUCUAACCCUAGACCAUAGCCGCACCCCAGCCACUCCAUCUACCUCCCCUGCCCUUGCUGCGCCACCCCCGGCCGUCGCCGACUGAGCCCCGGCCGGCCAACCGCUGCCGCAGCCACCACAUUCCUCUCUCUCCAUCUCUCUCUCCAUCUCUAUCUCUUUUUCUCGAGUUGGGGGCAAGCCCGAGGUUGCUCUUCUCUCUGCCGCUUCCCCUAGAGUCCAAGUGUCCCUCCCAGCCGGUCGCCGCCGCCUGCCGCCGUCGCUGAGCGCGGCAGCCGCGUCGUUGCCACCCUGCAACCGGCUUGGCCGAGCUCAGGCCGAGCUUGGUUGCAUCAGCUGCCCGCGCCCCGCUACCGCCUGAGAUCGCUCCCGCCGCCGUCCCCGGGGUCUCGGCAACCUUCCCCGCCGGUCACCGCCGCCGCUGUGGGCCGCCGCCGCCGCCUCGGCCAUCCGCAGCCGCCCCAGACCCGCUCGGGCCAAGGCAAGCACACGACUCCUUCCCGGCGCCGCCGCCGCUCGGGGCCGCACCCGAGGUACCUCUCCGGCCUCCUGCAACCAUCCUUCGCCGUCCCGGAGCUCCUCGGCCGCCGCUGUGGCCGCCAUUGCCCGUGGAACCCGAGGCUUUGCACGUGCGGGCUGAGCUUGCUUCCCCGACGCCGCCGUCGCUCCCCGCCGCCAACUGAGGUGAGCAUCGUGUUCCUCACCUCCCCCGCAGCCAUCCCUGGCCGUCGCGCGCGCCGCCGUGCCGCCGGAAGCCGGCCGGAGCGAGCUUGCUUCGGCCAAGCCCGAAAUAGGGCUUAGUUUGGAUGGUUUACUGUUCCGAGCAACCCGAGCCUCCCCGAUCUCUGCGGAAGGGAGCACGAUGAUUGUAGCAAAUUUCUGAUCAUCGUGCUCACCUUAGUUUCUGUUGGGGAGACUCCGUUCCUCUGUUUCGGCGGUGUCGACCCUGUCGAGCCUUUUUGGCUGCUGUUUUGGGUUUGCGCACACUUAUCCGGAGAUUCGAGACUGUUCCGAUGCCUCCGGAGGUGAGCACGGUGAUCGUUGGUCAGUUCUGAUCACAGUACUCACCUUACUUUGGAUCAGAGGAUGUCGUAUCGGCCUNGUGUGCGAUUCCUCGAAUUGUUGCUCCAAAAAUCCAACCUUGUCUUUAUACGAUUUGAUCGUUGAUUCCGCUUCAUCAAGUUUCUCUUGGAGGAUCGAAUUAUUCUUCCAAAUCGAUUCCUUUUCCUCCUCGAGAGCACUAUUCAUGGUCUUCAAAUUUUUGUUUUCCUCUUCAAGUUCAAGUAGACGCUUCCUCAAUUUCUUAUUGUGCUUCGCCAUCUUUUUGGAUUCGACAAGGAGUUGAUGAUAAGCUUCCACUAAAUCCUCGGCGUUUGAUUCCUCCUCGCUUUCGCCAUUGACGCCUCAACUUCUUAUUGAGCUUGGUCAUCUUUUUCGAAUCAAUAAGAAGUUGGUUGUAUGCUUCCGCUAUAUCCUCGUUGUUUGAUUCCUCUUCGCUUUCACCGAUAUCGCUCGAAGUACUUUGCACGGAAGGAGAAAUACUAGAAUUAGAAACAAUUGAGGAUAAGCACAUAACAUUAGACGAAGGCAAAGAAUUAUUAGCAAGUAAAGCAAUAUGAUCAUCCUUUUCUUCGUCACUUGAAGAUGAUUCACUCGAAGUAGAAUCAUCCCAAGUUUUUGCUUGCAAAGCCUUUUGUCUAUAAGUCUUGUUAGAAGGACAAUCCAUCGCAAUGUGACCGUAGCCUUUACAUUUGUAGCAUUGGAUUUUCCCUUCAAAUUUAUCUUUUUCUUUCGAAGACUUUACAAAUUUCUUAUCCUUAGAUUUAGAAGAUGAAGAUGAUUUAGAAAAAGAUUGUUGCUUAGACGAUGAAGCCUUCUCCAAUUUAUUCUUGUUUCGGAAGUUCUGACGAAAUUUUUUCGUUAGGAGCGCUAAUUGAUGUUCAAAAUCGGCAAGCGAAACAUCUCCGUCGGAAUCCGAGUCGUCGUCUUCUUUCUUUGUCGAUUUGAGUGCAACCCCUGUACUUUUAGAAGAAGACUUGGAAAAAGAUAGGUUAGUAGGAAAAGUCAUCUCAUAUGUUUGUAAAGCGCCUACUAAUUCCUCUACUUUCAUCUCGUCCGGAUGCUUUACCGUUUCAAUCGCGGCAACCUUUGCCCGAAAACGUUCCGGAAGAGUCCGAAGAAUUUUUCUAACAACUUUAGCAUCCGGGAUUUUCUCUCCCAAGUUCGCACAAGUAUUAACAACAUCUUGAAGUCGCGUAUAGUACUCGGUAAAGGUCUCGUUUUAAUCCAUAGAAAUUGAAUCAAACUUGCUUGUUAGCAUUUGUAAUUUUUGGACCUUUACUAAGCUCGUUCCUUCAUGCGUAACUUGUAGAGUAUUCCAAAUCUCUUUGGCGGUAUUACACGCCAAAACGCGAGUGAACUCCGUUUGUGACAAUGCAUUAAAUAAAGCAUUUAUGCCCUUGCCAUUAAACGAAGAUGACUCGUUUUCGUCUUUCGUCCACUUGUUCCGCAGUUUAGGAACGGUAGCAUUAUCGACGACUUCACUAGAAUGCUUCCAACCGAAUUUGAUAGCUUGCCACACCCGCUCAUCGAUUGCGAUUAGAAAAGCUCUCAUGCGAACUUUCCUAUAGGCAUAAUUCGUGCCAUCGAAGAGUGGUGGUCGAUUAAUGUUACCGCCUUCGGCCAUUAGAUAACAAUUUAUUUAGAUCCCGCUCUGAUAAAAAUUGUAAGUUUUGGGGUUCCCAAGGAUCUAUCUAGAUUGUAUUAAACACCUAGAGGGGUGUGAAUAGGUGUAACGGCCAAAAAUCACAAAUCUCAAUGCGAUAAAAGUAAAUGCGGAAAAUAAAAAUCACACCAAGAUUUACGUAGGAAAACUCCAACUUGGAGUUAAAAACCCACGGGACCAACACGCGAAAAAAUAAUUCACUAAGAGAAAAGAUUACAAGGUGAUUAUCGACUUUACGGACUCGACCUCUCUUAACCUUCUAUGAAUCUCGCGCAAUCCUCUGGGUUGUCCACGCCUUCAAGUUCGAAUUCACGAAUGCCACGUUCCGAAUUCACGAAACGACACCAUUCCGAAUUCACGAAGCCUCGAUCACGCUGAAUCCACGACGCCCACUCGAAUUCACNNNNNNNNNNNNNNNNNNNNNNNNNUGGGACAAGGUGGAGCUUCACUCACCUUCCUCUCCUCUGGUUCCAGCACAAAAAAAGCCCUAAGGGGUGUGGGUGCUGUUAUAAAAAGCCCACAAUCGCGAAAAACCCCCUGCAGACCAAACUGCACAAAAACUGCCUCCUUGUAACGGUACACGGGCUCUUGUACCGGUACAAGGCCGACCAAAAUGCAAACCCGAGGCUCGGGUCGCGGGGUCUGCGGCUCUGUACCGGUACAAGCCCGAUGGCUGUACCGGUACAACCAUCAACCCUUGUACCGGUACAAGGCCAGUCUUGUUCCGGUACAAGCCCUGCUGCAGGUUGCCCGAGAGCUGUCCAAGAAUUCCGAUUUUGGAAUUUUGGUGCCAAGUCCCACUCCAACAUCCUCGGGAUGCGUGCCAGGGGUCGGAACACUAUCAACGACCUUCCAAAAACUGUGGGAAUGCUCCAAACACAGAUCAAACACUCGAAUCUUGCGAUUUGCUAAGAUCCAGUGUAUUACACACACUGUGUGUAUUCCUAGACACUAGGUCGGUUUCGCUACCGACCAGGGGUGUACUUAUCCAGAUGGGUCGUCAGUGGACGCGUGAAUCAGGUUAGUAUAUGUAUGCAUUGUGACAGGCAACAAUUAAGAUUUGCGGACCAAUAUGGUAGGCACUAGAUUGGGUUUGAUUUGGAUUAUUUACCUUUGAGCCAUCUGUUCAGUUGAAAUUUUGUUAUUAGUAGUGGUUUGGUUCUUGCCCAUUUACUAUCCUGUUUCUAUUACUACUGUAGUUGCUUUUCUAUUACGACAUAUACCUAUCUGUUGUUCUAUCUCCUUUGUUUUUCAGUGAAUACAAUUUGCCUUCGCGGCUGUCGUACCUACUGGAAAACCUUGUUGUGGUUUCUCACCCCCCCAUUUCCCGAGGUGGCACGAGCAAGGAGUUGGUUCUUGGUGCGAUGGGAGGAUGUCCUAGCUAGGCUGCAUUAGCGGUCGUCACCCUGAUUAUUUUUCUUUCCGCAUUUAGUAGUUUAAAUAAUGAAAUGGUUCAGUUAGAUGAUCAUUGUUAUUGCUUGAAUAAUCAUGAAAUUGUAUUGAAUUGGUGUUUUCUAUUAUGCAUGCAAUCGGAGUUUUAUGAAUUUUCAGCACGUGGAUUUAUGGAUUCACGCCUUGUGGUUUUCUACCUCUCGAGGUAGGCGGUUUUCAAAGAUUGAGUUUUCGUAUGGAAAACAGUUUUAAAAGGGUUAAGAAUGGUUUUUAUGGAUGAACAAUUAGAGUUUAAAAGAAAACAAAGCUUCCGGGUGGGGAGCAUUUUUAAAUAAGAUGAUUGUUGUAUUGUGCAGCACAUCAUCUAGUGCCUUAGGAGUGUUUAGAGACAUACAUAAUUUCUAAGAAAGGUUAGUUGUAUGGAGAUGCAUCGCAUUGAUUGUUUGUAGAUUGAUAAAUGUAGGUUGUAAGUUGUGAUCUUGUUGAUGUUGUUGUUGUGUACGCCAUGCAAAUAUAAAGGAAACUUUAUCCGUGUGGGCAAAGAAACAUGUAUUUGUGACGGGUCUGUAUGUCACAUGGGCCAGAUUAUUUCAAAAAAAAAAUUUUCGCUAAUUUGAUUUGUAAAAAAGACUAUUUUAGGCCCCGGGGCGUGAUAUCGAACCUGUGAAUCAAAAAUAUGAAGCGGCAAGAAAAAGUAAAAGAAGUUAGUCGAAAUAAAAAAAAUGAGUCAGGGAAGAAAAGAAAAGAGUUCGAGUGUACCGCCAUGGGGCACGGAGAAGCAACUGCUCCCUUGUUAGAGCCUUCACUUGAGGCCUCAUAUUUCUGGAGACUCAACCAUAAUCUCCUUACCCUCGGAAAUGCUGGUUAAAGCGAAGUAGAUUAAAUCAAGAUAAAUUAAGAAGGGAAAAUGCAAAAGAGAAGGAAUCUAAAAAUAGGAAAUACCUUCUACCUGAUCAAAAUCAAAGCGGCUGAGGCGAUUCAAAAAGGGCAAUGCGAACAACACUUGUUUACUAUCAAUUUUUUGACCUUUGGAUGCUUAGAAUUUUGUCGGGUUUGGUGCAAUAAUAACAAUUCAAUGGUAGAAAAAUUAAUAAUAAAUACUAUUUAUAUACUAUUGAUAAUAAUAGGUAAAACUCUUUAUAGAAUGUAUACAUUUUUAAAUGACAAAAAAAUAUGAAAAAAUAAAAUAGUUUUUCAUUUAUUUUUCAUAGAAAUCAAAUAAAUAGAACGCUAAAAAAUAUAUAUUUUUUCCUACCAAUUAAACAUCAAAAUUUGUAAAAUCAUAUUUUCACUGAAGAUAUAAUUUUUUUCAAAAAUAUUUUAUCAUAAUUUUAAAUAGGACCAAACAAAUCCACUAUAUUAGAUACACUUAAAUUAAUUAUAUAUUAUUAUUAUUAUGUAUGCCAUAUAGAAUAGUAGAGUGUGAGAAUCAAGAACUAUGAUAAUUUUAUAUUGAAGUAUUUGGUAAGAUAUUGGAUUUUUUUUUUAUAUUUAGCUCCAUCAAUUUUUUUUUAAAUGGUCCUAAUAAAUUUAUAUUUACAUAAAUAGUUUUCUCUUUAUCGUGCGAGCACCUAAAUGGCAUUUUUAAGUUGAACACGGCGAUUCAAUCACAGUAGUUAAACAUAAUAAUUGGAUCACCGUAUUUUUUUUUGUAUUUUUUUUAUUAUUCAUAAGUCAAAAAAAUGGACUAAGGUGUAAAUUUGAACACGGUGAUUUAAUCACGGUGUUUAACUUAAAAUUCUCAGUGAGACACUCACGUAAUAAUAAGAGGAUCAAUAUACAAAUAUAAAUUUAUUAGUGUCAUUUAUAAAAAAUAAUUUUUGAUGGGGUUAAAUGUAAAAAAAGUUCUAAGAAAUUAUUAUCUCCCGAUAAAAGGGUAUUGUUUUGCAUGGUUCAACUUUCAUUUUCCACCCACGUCUGUCUCGAGAAGUUUCCGACCGAGAAUAGAUCCAGAAACUUUUGUACCAACCCCCGCCGACUAAUAGUCUCCAGAAACGCCGAGGAGCAAACGGGUAGAGAGAGAAAGCUAUAUAUAUAUAUAUAUAUAUAUAUAUAGAGAGAGAGAGAGAGAGAGAGAGAAAGAGAGAGAGAGAGAGAGAGGGAAAAGGACAGAUAAUAGAGAAAGAGGAGAUGGCGGCGUCGGCGGAGGGAGAGGGUGCGAAGGCGAAGGCGAAGGCGAAGGCGAAGAGGUCGAUGGUGGCGAUCGACGAGAGUGAGUGCAGCAAUUACGCCCUCAGGUGGGCUCUCAGCAACCUCCGCGAAGCCAUCUCCUCUUCCCCUCUCGUCAUCUUCAACGCCCAGCCCUUCGCCACCGCCGGCUACAUGACCGCCGCAGCCUACGGGGCACCUCGUAAGCACGCAAUACAUAAACCGAC
RNAcentral lists this long non-coding RNA (9148 nucleotides) under Ananas comosus (pineapple). RNAcentral's name for it is "long non-coding RNA (ACOM_LNC017844)". Lineage: Eukaryota; Viridiplantae; Streptophyta; Magnoliopsida; Poales; Bromeliaceae. The record is from RNAcentral.